GAUGAACGCUGGCGGCGUGCCUAAUACAUGCAAGUCGAGCGAACAGAUAAGGAGCUUGCUCCUUUGACGUUAGCGGCGGACGGGUGAGUAACACGUGGGUAACCUACCUAUAAGACUGGAAUAACUCCGGGAAACCGGGGCUAAUGCCGGAUAACAUUUAGAACCGCAUGGUUCUAAAGUGAAAGAUGGUUUUGCUAUCACUUAUAGAUGGCACCGCGCCGUAUUAGCUAGUUGGUAAGGUCACGGCUUACCAAGGCAACGAUACGUAGCCGACCUGAGAGGGUGAUCGGCCACACUGGAACUGAGACACGGUCCAGACUCCUACGGGAGGCAGCAGUAGGGAAUCUUCCGCAAUGGGCGAAAGCCUGACGGAGCAACGCCGCGUGAGUGAUGAAGGUCUUCGGAUCGUAAAACUCUGUUAUUAGGGAAGAACAAAUGUGUAAGUAACUGUGCACGUCUUGACGGUACCUAAUCAGAAAGCCACGGCUAACUACGUG
This 497-nucleotide ribosomal RNA is filed under the name uncultured bacterium. Its description in RNAcentral is "partial 16S ribosomal RNA". It matches the Rfam family "Bacterial small subunit ribosomal RNA", at positions 28 to 507 of the family's 1533-position model. The record is from RNAcentral.